GCCUGGGUGGCUCAGUCGGUUGAGCAUCUGACUUCGGCUCAGGACAUGAUCUCACAGUUCAUGGGUUCGAGCCCCGCGUUGGGCU
RNAcentral lists this transfer RNA (85 nucleotides) under Felis catus (domestic cat). It matches the Rfam family "tRNA". Rfam says of the family: Transfer RNA (tRNA) molecules are approximately 80 nucleotides in length. Their secondary structure includes four short double-helical elements and three loops (D, anti-codon, and T loops). Lineage: Eukaryota; Metazoa; Chordata; Mammalia; Carnivora; Felidae. The record is from Rfam by way of RNAcentral.